RNAcentral lists this ribosomal RNA (461 nucleotides) under uncultured bacterium. Its description in RNAcentral is "partial 16S ribosomal RNA". It matches the Rfam family "Bacterial small subunit ribosomal RNA", at positions 338 to 795 of the family's 1533-position model. The record is from RNAcentral.
CCUACGGGUGGCAGCAGUGAGGAAUAUUGGUCAAUGGGCGGGAGCCUGAACCAGCCAAGUCGCGUGAGGGAAGACGGUCCUACGGAUUGUAAACCUCUUUUGCCGGGGAGCAACGGGGUCCUUGCGAGGGCCCAAUGAGAGUACCCGGAGAAAAAGCAUCGACUAACUCCGUGACAGCAGCCGCGGUAAUACGGAGGAUGCGAGCGUUAUCCGGAUUGAUUGGGUUUAAAGGGAGCGUAGGUGGAUUGUUAAGUCAGUUGUGAAAGUUUGCGGCUCAACCGUAAAAUUGCAGUUGAAACUGGCAGUCUUGAGUACAGUAGAGGUGGGCGGAAUUCGUGGUGUAGCGGUGAAAUGCUUAGAUAUCACGAAGAACUCCGAUUGCGAAGGCAGUUCACUGGACUGCAACUGACACUGAGGCUCGAAAGUGUGGGUAUCAAACAGGAUUAGAUACCCCAGUAGUC